UCACAAUGAAUCUGAGUAGUAGAUAUAGCAUGCCCAUUUUCCAGGUAAGGAAACUGAGGGUUAGAGAGAUUCUGUAACUUGUGCAAGGUUAUAGGCUCUAAGUAGCAGAUUAGUUCUGACUGGAGGCCAGCGUUUCCUCGGGCCUCUGUGACAUCACAACGCAAUGGGAGUAUGACUUGGGCAGCUCCAGCUGGCUCCUCUGCUAGUCUUGCCGCAGUCACCAGUUUUGGAGGAAUGGGAGAGGAGCUUUCCACUCCUCUGAGAGUCAUGUCGAGAGUCUGUCUUAGCCCUCGACCCCUCAGUCUUUGUAGAUCUCAUCCCAGAACCCCGAGGGAGAGGUAAUUGCUGAAGGAUUUUUGCUUCAAACAGGCUCUUGUUUGCAUCAAGUGUGGGGUGCAGCAAAGUGGACUCGGGACUGGCCGAUGUCUGGCCAGAAAUGCCAGGCAAGGGAAACAGUGACUCUAGUGGGGUCAGGAGAGGGGCAUCUGCUGGCCCAGGAGCGCAAGGCAGAGGGGUGAGGCGACUCUGAGGCAGGAGGUCCAAGUUUGCUGGACAAUGGCAGAAACAGAAUUCAAACACCUGUCUUCUAGGAGAAGUUCUGGUCUCUCCUCGGUGCUGCGGCUGCCCCGGGAAGAGUUUCCAGGAGCUGACAAGCAUUCAGAUGAGUAAAGAUGGGAUCGGAUUGAGAAAAGGAGAAGGGAGAGCAUAUUCGUUCUCUUUCCACCUCCCUCCCACAGCCUUUCAUGCUGAUCUCAUCUGACGAAGCUGCCUCCUCCUCCCUGGACUCUACAAGCCCCUGUCAUGAUGUUUCUCAGAUCCUGAAUUCCAGCGAAACAGAUGAUACUAACAAGUUUGAAGACCCCCACAGAGGAAUGGAAUCAGUAUGAGAACACAGUUUCUUCAUCUCCCUGUCCCAGAACUUCACCCUGGACUCCUCGACCAAUCAACAAUCUCCACACUUCGGCCCACUCCAAAACUCCUAAAAUCCCAAGCUCCAAACUCCUCUGGGAGAUGGAUUUGAGGCUUCCUCCCGUUUCCUUGUGUGGAAGCCCUGUCAUUAAACCUCUUUCUCUGCUGCAACCUGAUG
Molecule: long non-coding RNA, 1087 nt
Filed under: Homo sapiens (human)
Lineage: Eukaryota; Metazoa; Chordata; Mammalia; Primates; Hominidae
Description: HSALNT0365255
Source: RNAcentral